GGAGAGAAGCCUGGCUCCUCAAAGCUAUGUUCUCCGAUUUCCUUAAAGAGGUUAAGCCAUAGACAUACCCUGGUCUUUAUCUAAGAAAGUGUGUCAGACCCUUAUCAAGUUAAAUUUUUCAAAGGAGUUUGGCUAAAUUCUAAUGUUAGAGAUGAAUUUUUACUUCCUGUGUGCAUGUUUUUGUGUGUGUAUGUGUUUCUUUCACAGGGUUUUAGAUCAUCCAGAAGCAGAAUGAAGCAAUCCUAGGAAAUUCAAAUUAGAGUCCAUGGCUUGGGGUCUUCAGACUCAAACAUGGACCUUACUCAGAAAUAAUAUAACUAUUGAUAGUAGCCAGGAAUUUUUAAGAUGCCUCUAGAAACCAACUAGCCUUAGAAAUAUAGACAGCUAAGUAGUUCAUCCAGAGAGUAGAAAAACAUCACUUCACUGAUGACUUUCUUACUUUUGAUAAAGAUUUUCCUUUGCUAGGAGAUAGUUCUCCGUCAUUCUAGUUAGUACAUCUUUAGGGAAAAGUACAAUGCACAUUUCUCUCCUCUCUCACCUGGAGACUUUUUCAGCUCUAUGGAGUCACCCUUUCUUCUACUUCUUAGAAAAAUGAUGUGAACCUCAACCUCACAUUCUGUUGAACAUAGACUUCUAUGCAAGUUUUCUGAAAAUUUCAAGACACUCAUUCUUUGGGCAGUCCACAUGAUAGAAAGUUUCCUGGCUCUCACCUGGAUUCUGGCAGUGGGUGUUCUCUAAGGUACUCUCAUUGUGGAAUGCUUGUAUUUACCUCAAGGCACUACUAGCCCAGGUUGCUGGGUGUAGACAGGUUUUACUAAUGGUUUGGGGGCAAUGAAAAGAGAUUACAUUAUACACACAGUAUAAGUUAUACCUAAAUUGAGUGUUAGACAUCACUGUCAUCCCCCUAAAUUUCCCACAGUUAUCUCCUUAAAUGUGUCAUCCAAAAUCUUGGUAUUUGAAAGGAAGCAUAAAUUCAUUUAUUCAUUCACUCAAAAGUGUUUAUUUAAUGUCUACCAUAUACCAGAAACUACCCUAGAUACUGUGGAUGCAAUGAAAAAUAAUGUCUCUUAUGGGAAUUAAAGUCUUUUAAUGAAGAGAUGGUAAAUAGACAACACAAAAGAAGCAAAUAAAUAGCUAAUUAGUCAUAUGGUGGUAAGUGCUAAUGAAGAAAAUUUAAUCAAUGUAAAGUGGUAGAGAGCAGUAAAGAAAGAGAGAUUGUUUGAUAAGUUGUGAGGGAACACCACUUAGAGCACAUGAAGCAGAGAAAUUAAAAUGCAAACAUGUAAGACCAAAAGGUGUUUGUUAUGUUUGAUAUGUAGUUGGAGUGUAGUGAGCUUGAUGAAAGGUAGCCAGGGGCCAGAAGGUGUAUUGGAAGUUUGGGAAGGAGUGUGGAUUUUAUUCUAAGUGUCAUAGAAAGUCAUUGGAGGGCUGAGAACAGAGAGUGACAUGACCUCAUUUACAAUUUAAAAGGAACACUCUAGUUGUUUAUGGAGAACAGACUCUGAGUUGGGAGACCAGUAGAAGGCUGCUUCAGCACUCCAGGUGAAUGAUGGUAGUGGUUCAAAACAGGGCAUUGGUAACAGAAGGGUUGAGAUCAUUUUGAUGUUAAAAUUAACCAGAUUUGCUGAUGAAUUAGAUGUGAGACAUGAGAGAAAUCAUAAUUCUAUCAUUUUUGGUCUGAGAAGUUGAGUGGAUUGUGGUGCCACUUAACUGUGUUAGUGUUUUUCUGCUGUUGCAUUGUAGGCACAGUCUGUGAUAGAGGCAGAAAACUGUUUCUUGCUGCAAAUCCUUGGGUUUGUACCAACAAGAGUACUCUUUACUGAUGGCCAAAGGCACAGAGACCAACCAGCCUUUGGGUUCUGCUUAAGUUCUUCUCAUGGAUACAAGCAAUCUACAACAUCUUAAGAAGAAAGGGAAACUGUGUAUUAAGAUUGCUAUGUAUGAGCCAGAAACUUCCACAGUUGCCAAAAAUUACUCACCUACAGAUCUAUGGUUCAUAAGAAAUCUUGGAAAUAAUAUACGGCAAUCUCUUUUCUAAUGUAGCAGUCCUCUUUGCCAUAUUUCCAACAAGUGGAAUACAUUUCCAUAUAUUCUCUAUUUGAAAACUUUUAGAAGAGAAAGCUCACUGAGCUGGGAAGGAGCUCAUUUCUGCACUGUCUUGUUACAUUUUAGAAAGUGCUUUCUUAGAUUUAACUGAAACCCUCUACACACUGGCCGCAGGCCUUUGCUGCUCAACACUCCUAUCAUAUUUUAUGGCUUAUCAAACUCUCUAAUGUAUCUUAUCAGGUUCAAUUUUCAUUAAGCCCUGUAAGGUAGAUUGUUAUCUCCAUUUUAUUCACAAAAACGACAGAAACACUGAAGAGUUGUGAGCCUUGCUCAGGUUAUGUGUCUAAGAAAUGGUAGAAGUGGGUCUGUAGUCAUCUAAGCAUCUAUGUUCUGUUCUUCCCACGCAAAGAGCCAUCUUGGAACUGUGUCUUAUGUUAUGACACACAACAUGAGCCUUAUCCCAUUAAUUUUCAGUGAUUCUUUAUCUUGCGUUUCAAUUUGUUUCACUUUGCUUAUUACUCAUAUACUGCAUUAUAUUAUAAUUAUAUUAUACAUUAUAUGUGUAUAUAUUGAUAUAAUUCUACAGAGAUCAUAGAGCUUCAGUGUUGAGGCUUGCUAUUAGGGUCUUCCUUUGUUUCUUCUCUCUACUGUGUUCUACCUGAAUUGUCCCUCCUGUCCCUCUGCCAUCUUGGUUUUAAUAAAAUGAGGAGAAAAGAGAUUGAGCUUGGAGUCAGAAGGCCUGGGUGUGAGCCCAGCCUCUGCUACUCAACUAGCUAUAUGUGAAGCCCUAAGUAAGUGACAUUAACAUCUUGAGAUUCGGUUGUCUCCUCCGUAAAAUAAGGAUGCCAAUUCCUAUGCUUACGAUUUUAUGGAACUAGGGUUCAUGCCAAAUGGAAUGGGGCUCCUUUGUGACUUGGAAAAUCAAUCCUGAUGCUAAGUCAGUGGAAUUAUUAUAUUCCUUAGCAACUUCCUCGAUAAAGUCACUGUUGAAAAAAUUCUUGUUUAUAAUCAUCCAUAAUUCUACCAAGUUAUAUAUGAAUCCCAUAAAACCUAAAAAUACUAAUUAGAAGCAAUAUGUUGGUAAAUCUCAUUUUGAGAUAGAAAAAUAAAAUAAUAAUAUCUUACAUUUUUAUAGCCUUUAUAACAUUUUCUCACAUGCCUCUUUUAUUGUGUCUUAAGAAUAUAUGAAGUAAUAAACAUAAAAGCAGUUGUCGUGUGUCAGAUUCUCUAUAAAAGUUAGUUGAAUAUGUUUGAAUAUAUUCUGUGCUCAUUAUAUUCAUAGCCUAGUGUGAUCCACUUUGAUGUCUGUUUAAUUCCGAAAUAUGAUUAGAGUGAUGUGUAAACUUCUGACUGGUGAGAUACAACAUUUUAAGCUCUUUGCUCUCCUUAUCUGUAGCUAAAACCCUCUGCUUAACUCAGGGUUGUCUAAGGAGAUGUGAGCUACUAAGGGAAUUCACCUCCUCCAUCUGCUCUUCACAGAAGGGACAGAACCUCUUUGUUCUUUUGUCGUAGCCCUGGCUUUCUGUGGGUGAACCACUUCAAAGACUGAGAGCUAGUAAGAGGCACCCUUGGUGUUAUUGAAUGCUGAAAGUGUCCACACAUGUAAGAUACCAUAUUUAAGAUGAGAACCUUUGCAGAGGAGACUGGAGAGUUGGGCAGCUACUGGUGUCUCAGAUGUCUCUCAAAUGUGUCUCAAAUGGGCAAGGGGCUUCUCGUUUCAUUUGGUUCAGGACCCGGUCUUCUCACACACUCCACCCUAACUGCAUCACACCUACACCACUUCCAGUAUAUGAAAGGGAACUAGGUACACGUUUUCUGGAAGGGAAGGUUCUAAAAGUUGUUCCUGAUUGGAAGAUAAGGCAGGUGAAAGAUUCAGGAAGCUACAAAGGUCUCUGGCCUUAAGUAAAUGAACUAAGUUUCUAAACUUUGUAACAGAGAAUUAAGACUGUUGAUUGAAGAAACUGGGGAUUCUGAUAAUAUGAAAUGUGUCUAGUUCUCCUUACCCCAUGUCUUCAUUGAGAAGAGAAAACAGCCUUGACUCAGAUGGUGAGAAAGACACAAAUGUGUUAAACAGAACUCUAAAGUGUGAGCUGCAGGGGAAGACGUCUCAAACCUCAGCAUCCUCUUUGCAUCAUUCGGUGGGUUGUAUUUUGGCUUCUAAGAAAUUGUGGAGGCUUCUGCAGGCAUCUCGGAGGGUGGCAAAGAGAAGAAUACCAUGCAGGUGGCUGAGGUGGCUCAUAUUUUCUUUAGGAUGGUGAAUUGGCUUUUUCUCACUUUACAGAAGAACAUGUAAAGACGGCUCUGUUCUGUGAAGGGAGUGGUAAUAUAACCAGUGGCCAGGUAGCUGGAGCUGCAUUUGAAAGGAAGAUGAAUAUGCUUUUUCUGCCCUACAGCUAAGUCCACAUUGUCAUAUCUUAUGUCUCACGAGAUGGCAAAGAAUAUCAACUUUUUAUUCAAAAGUAGUGGGAUGUAGUGGUGGUAGUAGUAGUAGUCGUCGUUGUCCUUAUCACAGGACUUUAUGGCUUGGCUUAGGGCAAAAAUAAGUACAUAAAUAGCAAUAGUAGUUGUAAUUAUUGACUCCUUUUUAUAAGAAUUAUGCAAAGCACCCUACAUUUAUGUUUACUAAUCCUCACAACUCCACAAGUCCAUUUUAUAAGUGACCAAAACUUAAUUAGGUGCAGAGAGGUUAAGUAACGUUUCCAAGGAAACAAGAGCUAGGGUUCAAGACCAGGCUUUGUUGAUCCAAGGAAUCUUACCUAAAGCAGGCUCAUACUGCCCCCUUAUAAUACUAAUAUUCUUCAUUCAUUCAACAAACAUUUAUUAAGCACCUACUAGGUGCCAACCAUUGUUUAGGGAAUAGAAUGGUGAACAAGACAGAUAAGUUCCUUGCUUCUUUUAAACUUAUGUCAUAGAUGGGUAAGCAGGUAGUGGAGAAAAUAAACAAAAGUCAAAUAAAGAAACAUAUAAAUUAUCAGAUAAACACCAUGCAGAGAAUUAAAAUAGGUUGAUAGUGGGAAUUCCCAUCGAGACUCAGCAGUAACCAACCCAGCUAGUAACCACGAGGACACAGGUUUGAUCCCCGGCCUUGUUCAGUGGUUCGGGGAUCCCACAUUGCUGUGGCUGUGGUGUAUGUUGGCAGCUAUAGCUCCUGGCCUGGGAACUUCCAUAUGCUGUGGGUACAGCCCUAAAAAAGACAAAAAAUAAAAAAAUAAAAGAUGGUGAUAAGGUAAAGAGAGACUAGAAAAUUACAUUAGAGUGAAAGCCUCCCUGAGGACAAUUAAAAUAACAAGAGCCAGGAAUGCAAAGAUUAGGCUAAAGAACAUGGUAAGCAGAGGCAACAACUUUUUAUGGGCUUGCUUUUGGUAUUUUGAGACUAUAACACUCCUAGCAACAUGCUUAGCAUUCUUAAGAGCUUAAAUACCAGUAGGUCUACUAGUCAUUGUGACAAUUGUCAAUGUAAAUAAAGAGGUACAAUGAGGUAAGCUUGAGUUACCAGAAAUCAAAUUUAUUUGAGAAUAGUGUCAGAAUUGCUAUUCAGGAAACUUGUGCUAUAGCAAGUUACAGGCAGGUGUGUUGAAGUUUUGGGGGGGGCUGUGUUUAUGAGCAAGGAGUGUUAAGAGGAGGGUGUCCAGACAGAGUCCAAGCAGGAAGUUUUUUGGCAUGAGGAUAGAGAUUUUUGGCAGAUAUUCAUUGGUCAGGAGGUCAGGCAUUUAUAGGAAAUCAGCCUUUUGGUUCUUAAGUUCCAUUCCUAUGAUGGCACAUGCAUGAGAUUCUCCAUUGCAUAACCUCUAGUUCUGUUUUAGUUUAAAAUCUUUUUUUCACAACCAAAUAUCUCCCCCAUAUAUUGUUCCUCUGUCCUUGCUGAAAAUCACCAGUUAAAAGCAAUGGUUAUAAAACAGGAAUGAGCUUGGCAUGUAGGGGAAAUAGAAUGAAAGGCCAUGUGGCUGGAGUCUGGGGAUGGCAAGAGGGGAUGCUGGAGAGGUAGACAGAGACCCAUAUCACACAGGGCUUUCUACAUUGUUGUGAGGGCUUCAGAUUUUAUUGUUAGUUCUAAUGGAAGCCACUGAAAAGCAUAGUUGAAGGGGAAUUGGAGAGAAGUGGAAAAUUUUGAUCUGUUAAUUUUAGUAGUAGAGUUUUCAGGUCUGUUUGGGUGUUGGGUGCAUGGGAAAGAGAUGAAUCAAGGAUUACGCCUACUAUUUUCUACUCUGUUUCCUUUACAGAACCUAUUGUAAUAAUUUCCUAGGCUUUUUUUCUUUUUUUUCCUUCAUGUAUUUUUCCAAUUAGAUCCAUGUCUGUUUUAUCCUGGUGCUUGGUAAAAGUGUGCUGAAAAAGUGAUUGGACAUCUUUUCUUACUCCAUACAUAGACCUACCUCUUUUUAAUGGCUGCGUGCCUAGACCAUCAGCUUAUCUUCAGUCAUUUCUCUAUGAAGGGACAUUUAAUUUGCUCCCAAAGUUCUGCUGUUUCAGAAAAUGCUAUAAAGACCAUGUUUAUAUUCAGGCCUAUGUAUUUCUGCUAGUAUUCUUCUAGGACAGAAAAAUAGAUUUAGAAGGUCUAUGCAUAAACUAUAUGUUAUGACUUUCCAUGGGUAUUAUCAAAUUGUUCUGUAAAAGGUUUUACUAAUUUUCACCCCAACCCACACCAGGUAGGAGUGCCUUUUCUCUAUACUGUAAGCCAUUUUUAUAUAAUCAUUUGCAAACAUUUUUACAACACUGGCACAUAAAAAAAUGGUCUCCAUACUUCGCAUUAAAAUUUUUUUGAAG
Molecule: long non-coding RNA, 6807 nt
Filed under: Sus scrofa (pig)
Lineage: Eukaryota; Metazoa; Chordata; Mammalia; Artiodactyla; Suidae
Description: lncRNA (ENSSSCG00000052700.1)
Source: RNAcentral